AAUCAACGCUGGCGGCGUGCCUCAGACAUGCAAGUCGAACGCGAAAUUUCCCUUCGGGGAGAAGUAGAGUGGCGCACGGGUGAGUAACACGUAGGUAAUUUGCCUUUGGGUGGGAAUAACUCAGGGAAACUUGAGCUAAUACCGCAUAAUGCAGCGGCUCGACAUCGAGACAGUUGUUAAAGCGGGGGAUUGGAGCAAUCCGACCUCGCGCCUAAAGAGAAGCCUGCGGCAGAUUAGCUAGUUGGUAAGGUAAUGGCUUACCAAGGCGACGAUCUGUAACCGGCCUGAGAGGGCGGUCGGUCACACUGACACUGACAUACGGGUCAGACUCCUACGGGAGGCAGCAGUC
RNAcentral lists this ribosomal RNA (349 nucleotides) under uncultured bacterium. RNAcentral's name for it is "bacterial SSU rRNA". It matches the Rfam family "Bacterial small subunit ribosomal RNA", at positions 32 to 356 of the family's 1533-position model. The record is from RNAcentral.